This 3546-nucleotide long non-coding RNA is filed under the name Drosophila guanche. The record is from RNAcentral. Lineage: Eukaryota; Metazoa; Arthropoda; Insecta; Diptera; Drosophilidae.
UAUAAUUUUUUUUUACAUUUUUAUUAUUUUUCUGUAGUUAAGUUGCGUGGUUUUGUGUGUUGGCAUGGCUCUGGCAAUUACAACAUUUAGUAAGCUUCUGCAUAAUUCUGCAAUUCAAUUGAGUUUUGUGUUUUCUUAUUUAACAAACAUUUUUGUAGAGAUUUUUCUGUAGUGUCAUUUUGUUUUGCGCUUCGUAGAUGCGAAGAUCGUUCAUGGGUCUGUUUUCAGAUCAGCUCAAAAAGAGUCGUGGCUGUGCACGGAGUUUUCUUUUUGAUGUUUUGUUUUUUUUUUUUGUUCUUUUUUUGGUUUUGUUUUGCUAUCAAAAGUGUGCCGCGGGGAAGCCUGCCCUUCCCUGUCCAACUUUCGUACAUGUGCAGGCCACAAAGGUCCAGUGGUCAGUACAGAUCGGGUUUGGACAGGCCAGGCUGAAUCCCGGCAAGUCCGAGAUUUUGGGAGUAGUUUCGGUUAGUUACAGCACGGCACAAAAAACACUUAGAAACGCCUCUGGCUCCAAAUAAUGUACAUAUGUAUGUAUGUAUUGUAAAUAUAUUUUAUGUACAUAUAUGUAUGCACUUUUUUGUGUUUUUAUUGGAUUUUGGUUUUGGCGAUGCAUUUCUGCCAUUCGCCCGACUUUUGCUUUCGGUUUGCUCUUCAGCUUUCUAUGCUAUGUGGUAAAUGGUGGGUAAAUACAUCAAUACAUUCAGUUCAAACAGUUAUUUUGACUCGAUAAGACUCGAUAGACAGUUAAAAUACAGCUAUGCAUGUUUCCAUUGUAUUGAUAUCGGUUGCGAUUUGUGUAUUUAUCUGUAGAGGCUAGUCACACAUAGAACACCAAAAAAAAACGCCAACAACUGUUGUAUUUGUAUAACUAUUACAAAUUGUAUGUACAUAUGUAUGUAUGUAUUUAUGUAAAUGGUUAUUCUGAGUCGUCUGGGGUCUCUCAUUCACAAUGCCAUCGUUCUACCAUGGGGCUCUGUUUCCAUAAACUCGGUAUUUUUGUUUUGGGUUGGAAAUGAACCUUUGCUUCGUUCGAAAAGAUCCAUUCCUAGACAUUAAAUGCUACCCAUUGUCUUUCCCAACCUCCGCCUGUGCUUCGUCGUUCUCAGUUUCGGUCUCUGGAUAUCCCACAUUAUCAGAUGGAAGUCCCAACUUUACUACAAAAAAAAAUAUUUGAUUUUACCCCUUACAGUGUUCCGUUUGGGUCUGCGUCAAAGGUCAAUUCGUUUUGUUCUCUGUUCAUUUCCGUUGUCGCGUUACCAAUCCCGUACGUUCCCUUCCGUCCUUUCGGAUCAAUGUUCUAUUCUACUGCUCUGACUAUUCCGUACUAUUUGUUGUAUCUGCUUCGAUUAUAACUAUUUGUUCACAUUGAAAGCGUUUAAUUAUGGUUUCCUUUUUUGCUGUUUUUGUGUGUGUAAAAGAGUUUCCCCUCUUAUUUAUGUAUCUUGUUUUCCCAGUGUUGUUUCAGGCAUUCUUUUCAUUUGUUUUAUCGAGUAGUAAGUUGUUUUGUAGAUAUUGAAUUUUGAUAUAUGCGACUUUGAACAUUUGUGUGAAACCCUUUCGGAAAUGCUGCCGUUUACAUUUAGUUUUCUCUUUUGUUUAGAAUUUGCUUUGCUUUACCGACUUACCGGCCACAAACUGUACAUUUUUGCUUAUGUAUUUUGCCAACUUGUCUUAAUUGGCUAUGAUUUCGGUAAGUAGUCCUCAAGUGAACUGUUUGUAGUGUGUCGGGCAUUAACCCUAAAUCCAUGAAAUAUGCAUUGAGCUGAGAGACCAACACGGAACGAGGUUUUCGGGUUGACAUUUUGUCUUGAGAAUCUUAUCUAUGGGCUCCUCUCAUUCGGAUGUUUCUAUAUACUAUCUAUGUAGGUUUGAAUUGUCCUUUGAUGCUCUGCUUUAAAGGUUCUCUUCUUUGUGUGUUUUGUUUUGUUUUGGGUUUCGAUAGAUCUUCAUAUUGUAUGUAUCGAGAUAUAAAAUUAGUUUGUGGGUUUUUACAGAGGGUUUUGGGCUUUUUUUUCGUAUCUCUUACACAUGUAUGUACAUAUAUGCAUGGGCUGUAGGUUACUUCUUAGUAUUUGAGAGUAUUCUAUAGGAUAAUUGUGUCACUUGGAGCCUUAUUAGAAAAAGCUGUAUUCGAAUGUAUUCGAAAGAUGUACCAAGAGGCAUGUAUUCCGGUUUCCGGUUUUCUGGCUGAGGCUGAGGCUAUGGAGGGGCGCAGCCAAGGCGGUUGGUCCUAUGCUAAAAACUGGAUUGAUAUUGAUAUGACAGACAACAUUUAAUACUGCUUACGGCUAGAAGUAUUGGCUGCAAAACACGAUCCUAACCUAAGGGACAUUUGCAUAUUUACUCGAUCAAAAUGCAAAUGCAAACCAAAUGCCCCAAGCUAACAUUCACUUUGAGAUCCAAAAGCUGAUAUUUUGAGCCACUGGCGAACAUCAAUCAAGUAAGCAAUUAAGCAACGUUUGUGAUAUUCCUAGACGUCCCAAAAGCUACAUUCCAUCAUUAUUUUUGAUUGUGUACAUUGAGCGAACAUCAAUCAAGCAAAAAGACUAGAGAUAAUAUUCUUAGCUAUGCCCAGGCAUCGUAGGGAUCGUAGGCAACAACGUUUUAGACAUUAUGCAACUUUGUGGAUCUUCAUUAGAUCCAUUAGAAUCCAAAACCCUAUAAAUAUACAUACAACAUACACUGACAGCUGCUGCUAUUUGUGCCACUAUUUGGUGACACUUCAAUUAUCGCUUAUAGCUUUGGAAGGCAUCAAACAUGGAGAUGCCAUUCACUUUCCGCGUUUUCGGGGAAAAUUCGAAUUCGAGUUUCAUGCGUGAAAAUCUAUUUUCACAAAUAACAUAACAACAUUUAUAAGACUUAUGUUUUCGCCCUGUCCUUCUCCCUUUUGGUCAACCAAACAGAAAAAAAACCCGGCCACGCCCCCAUGGUGUCUGUGGUAUCCCUUAGGGGGAAAGUCUACAAAUAUUUGUUCUCGCCUCUGCAAGAGUUUUGCUUCAAUGUCUUCAAGGUUCUAUUGACUCUCAUACAAACGUUGAAGAGUUUUUAGUUUUUAGUUUUUAGUUUUUUUACUCUGCUUUCUUCAGCCCAUCCCGAGAUGUGUGUGCCACUGCCUCCAAUGGGAGUUUGCUUUUGGGUUUAAUAUCCAGAGAUGCCCAGGCUUAUGCUGGGUAGUGGUAUGCGGUUUCUGGUCAUCGUAGUACGAAUUGUUUUUUCUGUAUUCGUUAUGUACAAUGGGUCAUGUUGUUGGUUAUCCUUUAACUUACGCUGUAUAUAUUGUGUGUAUUUAUUUCUUUGUUUAUAGUAAGUAUAAUGAGAUGUAUCUCUCGGUAGAACACAUCGUGAGUAGUCAGAACUACCUUCAGAAUGUUCUUCAACCGAAAAGACUACUAUUUGCCAGACUCGUACGAUUCCUUUCGCUUUACACUUUAGUUAGUCCUAUUGCUUGGGGAAGAGCAAUUUUGCAUCCCCAUCCCCAAUCCCAAUCCCAUCUUACAAUGCUUAAUUUUCUAAGGUUUAACAUUUAAAUUCUCUUUUUUACUUUGU